CCUCCGGUAGUUUAUUGGUUAGUAUUCUCGUCUGGUAUACCGGAGUUGGUGGGUUCGAUUCCCACCCGUGGCG
RNAcentral lists this transfer RNA (73 nucleotides) under Lucilia cuprina (Australian sheep blowfly). It matches the Rfam family "tRNA". Rfam says of the family: Transfer RNA (tRNA) molecules are approximately 80 nucleotides in length. Lineage: Eukaryota; Metazoa; Arthropoda; Insecta; Diptera; Calliphoridae. The record is from Rfam by way of RNAcentral.